GUGUGUUUUCCUCCAGCUGGUUUUUGCUCAGAGAGUCACUUUGCAUCGGCACGUGUUUCAGCUCUCCGAGUGUUUAUAGCCUUCAGACUCACACACUUUAUAACACACGGCUGUUUACCACGGUACAAACCCAACACACACCAUGAAUCUCUUCAGCGGCUUCAUCUGGAUUCUGACAGCUUUUAUUCCAGCAUCCAGAGGAAUCACUGUGACUCAGCCUGAAGUUGUGUCUGUUUCUGAAGGACAAAAAGCCACUAUAGAGUGUAAAACUGAUGCUGGGAUAGAUGGCUAUGGUUUAGCUUGGUAUCAGCAGAAACACGGAGAAGCUCCUAAACUCAUCAUUACUGGGGUAAAUGAUCUCUAUGAUGAGAGUCUCAGUCGAUUCAGUGGGAAUGGAGAAGCAGCAGGAACAGAUUUCACUCUGACCAUCAGUGGAGUCCAGACUGAAGAUGCUGGACAUUAUUACUGUCAGAGUUAUCACUACAUCAACAGUAAAGAUGUGUUCACACAGUGAUAAAGAGUCGUACAAAAACCUCCGUCAGUCAGAGUCACAGUGACUGAACUGAAACUGCAGCUGCUCAAACACACACACACACACACACACACACACACAACAGUGAAGAAACGACUCAAUAUGAUCUUAUUGAACAUAAUUUUCUUGAGCUUCAUCAGUUAUUAAUAUUUUUGAUUGUGAUUUUAUAGAAGUCAUAUUUGUCUC
Rhinichthys klamathensis goyatoka is the source of this 718-nucleotide non-coding RNA. The record is from the annotation of a RefSeq genome assembly. Lineage: Eukaryota; Metazoa; Chordata; Actinopteri; Cypriniformes; Leuciscidae.